RNAcentral lists this ribosomal RNA (250 nucleotides) under uncultured Veillonellaceae bacterium. Its description in RNAcentral is "partial 16S ribosomal RNA". It matches the Rfam family "Bacterial small subunit ribosomal RNA", at positions 97 to 334 of the family's 1533-position model. Lineage: Bacteria; Bacillati; Bacillota; Negativicutes; Veillonellales; Veillonellaceae. The record is from RNAcentral.
GGCGAACGGGUGAGUAACGCGUAAACAACCUGCCCAACGGAUGGGGACAACAGACGGAAACGACUGCUAAUACCCAAUAGACUCCGGUUUCGCAUGAAACCGACAGGAAAGGUGGCCUCUCGAAGAAGCUACCGCCGCAGGAGGGGUUUGCGUUUGAUUAGUUAGUUGGUGGUUAACGGCCUACCAAGACGAUGAUCAAUAGCCGGUCUGAGAGGAUGAACGGCCACACUGGAACUGAGACACGGUCCAG